GGGGAAUCUUCCGCAAUGGGCGAAAGCCUGACGGAGCAACGCCGCGUGAGUGAAGACGGCCUUCGGGUUGUAAAGCUCUGUUAUAGGGGACGAACGGCCGGGUAGCGAAGAGGUAGCCGGCAUGACGGUACCGUAAGAGAAAGCCACGGCUAACUACGUGCCAGCAGCCGCGGUAAUACGUAGGUGGCAAGCGUUGUCCGGAAUGAUUGGGCGUAAAGGGCGCGCAGGCGGCUGUGUAAGUCUGUCCAGAAAGUGCGGGGCUAAACCCCGUGAGAGGAUGGAAACUGGACAGCUGAGAGUGUCGGAGAGGAAAGCGGAAUUCCUAGUGUAGCGGUGAAAUGCGUAGAUAUUAGGAGGAACACCGGUGGCGAAAGCGGCUUUCUGGACGACAACUGACGCUGAGGCGCGAAAGCCAGGGGAGCAAACGGGAUUAGAUACCCCGGUAGUCCUGGCCGUAAACGAUGGGUACUAGGUGUAGGAGGUAUCGACCCCUCCUGUGCCGGAGUUAACGCAAUAAGUACCCCGCCUGGGGAGUACGGCCGCAAGGCUG
This 550-nucleotide ribosomal RNA is filed under the name uncultured bacterium. RNAcentral describes it as "bacterial SSU rRNA". It matches the Rfam family "Bacterial small subunit ribosomal RNA", at positions 356 to 896 of the family's 1533-position model. The record is from RNAcentral.